Molecule: ribosomal RNA, 388 nt
Filed under: uncultured Helicobacter sp.
Lineage: Bacteria; Pseudomonadati; Campylobacterota; Epsilonproteobacteria; Campylobacterales; Helicobacteraceae
Description: bacterial SSU rRNA
Rfam family: Bacterial small subunit ribosomal RNA
Source: RNAcentral
UUUUAGCUUGCUAGAAAGUGGAUUAGUGGCGCACGGGUGAGUAAUGCAUAGGUUAUGUGCCCCAUAGUCUGGGAUAGCCACUGGAAACGGUGAUUAAUACCGGAUACUCCUUACGAGGGAAAGUUUUUCGCUAUGGGAUCAGCCUAUGUCCUAUCAGCUAGUUGGUGAGGUAAUGGCUCACCAAGGCUAUGACGGGUAUCCGGCCUGAGAGGGUGAACGGACACACUGGAACUGAGACACGGUCCAGACUCCUACGGGAGGCAGCAGUAGGGAAUAUUGCUCAAUGGGCGAAAGCCUGAAGCAGCAACGCCGCGUGGAGGAUGAAGGUUUUAGGAUUGUAAACUCCUUUUGUUAGAGAAGAUUAUGACGGUAUCUCACGAAUAAGCAC